CGUGUAGGCGGUGCGGUAAGUUGGGCGUGAAAUCCCCGAGCUUAACUCGGGUGGGCCGUUCAAGACUGCCGUGCUAGGGUGCGGGAGAGGGAAGUGGAAUUUCCGGUGUAGCGGUGAAAUGCGUAGAUAUCGGGAGAAACACCUGCGGCGAAGGCGGCUUCCUGGACCGUAACCGACGCUGAGGCGCGAAAGCUAGGGGAGCAAACAGGAUUAGAUACCCUGGUAGUCCUAGCCCUAAACGAUGAGCACUGGGUGUGGCCCCUCACGAGGCCGUGCCGAAGCUAACGCAUUAAGUGCUCCGCCUGGGGAGUACGGUCGCAAGGCUGAA
RNAcentral lists this ribosomal RNA (328 nucleotides) under uncultured bacterium. RNAcentral's name for it is "bacterial SSU rRNA". It matches the Rfam family "Bacterial small subunit ribosomal RNA", at positions 568 to 898 of the family's 1533-position model. The record is from RNAcentral.